Molecule: ribosomal RNA, 1366 nt
Filed under: uncultured organism
Description: 16S ribosomal RNA
Rfam family: Bacterial small subunit ribosomal RNA
Source: RNAcentral
UAAUGCAUGCAAGUCGAGCGAUGAGGCUCCUUCGGGGGUACAUCAGCGGCAGACGGGUGAGUAACACGUAGGUGACCUACCCUCGAGACGGGGAUAACGGCUGGAAACAGUCGCUAAUACCCGAUAGACUUACCAGGUCAAAGCGGUAAGAAAAGCUACGGUGCUUGAGGAGGGGCCUGCGGCCCAUCAGCUAGUUGGUAGGGUAACGGCCUACCAAGGCGAAGACGGGUAGGGGGUGUGAGAGCACGAGCCCCCACAAUGGGACUGCGACACGGCCCAUACUCCUACGGGAGGCAGCAGCAGGGAAUAUUGCACAAUGGACGGAAGUCUGAUGCAGCGACGCCGCGUGAGUGAAGACGGCCUUCGGGUUGUAAAGCUCUUUUACGGGGGACGAGGAAGGACGGUACCCUGGGAAGAAGUGUCGGCUAACUACGUGCCAGCAGCCGCGGUAAGACGUAGGACACAAGCGUUAUCCGGAGUUACUGGGCGUAAAGCGCCUGCAGGCGGCCUGGUAAGUUGGACGUGAAAGCCCCGUGCUUAACGCGGGGAGGUCGGACAAUACUGCCAAGCUAGAGUGCGUCAGAGGGGAGUGGAAUUUCCGGAGUAGCGGUAAAAUGCGCAGAUAUCGGAAGGAACACCAGUGGCGAAAGCGACUCCCUGGGGCGCGACUGACGCUAAGAGGCGAAAGCUAGGGGAGCGAACAGGAUUAGAGACCCUGGUAGUCCUAGCCCUAAACGAUGGAUGCUAGGUGUGGGACGUACAGUUCCGUGCCGGAGCCAACGCGAAUUAAGCAUCCCGCCUGGGGACUACGUUCGCAAGGCUAAUACUCUAUACGAAUUGACGGGGACCCGCACAAGCAUCGGAGCGUUUGGUUCAAUUCGAUGCUACACGAAGAACCUUACCUGGGUUUGACAUGUACGUGGUAGAGAAGCGAAAUCGGAUUGACCCUUCGGGGAGCGUACACAGGUGCUGCAUGGCUGUCGUCAGCUCGUGCCGUGAGGUGUCGGGUUAAGUCCCGUAACGAGCGCAACCCUUAUCCUUAGUUGCACGUAUCUAGGGAGACUGCCGGCGGGAAGCCGGAGGAAGGUGGGGAUGACGUCAAGUCAGCAUGGCCCUUAUGUCCAGGGCUACACACACGCUACAAUGGCCGGUACAAAGGGCAGCAAAGUCGCGAGGCGGAGCGAAUCCCAACAAAGCCGGUCGUAGUUCGGAUUGCAGGCUGCAACUCGCCUGCAUGAAGCUGGAGUUGCUAGUAACCGCGCGUCAGCUAUAGUGCGGUGAAUACGUACCCGGGUCUUGUACACACCGCCCGUCACGUCAUGGAAGUCGGUAACGCCUGAAGGCGGUAGCCUAGCUCGGAAGAGGG